UACGUAGGUGGCAAGCGUUGUCCGGAUUUACUGGGCGUAAAGAGCGCGCAGGCGGUCGUGCAAGUCGCGUGUGAAAGCCCCCGGCUCAACUGGGGAGGGUCACGCGAUACUGUUCGACUCGAAGGCAGGAGAGGGAAGCAGAAUUCCCGGUGUAGUGGUGAAAUGCGUAGAGAUCGGGAGGAACACCGGCGGCGAAGGCGGCUGCCUGGACCGGCCCUGACGCUGAGGCGCGAAAGCUAGGGGAGCAAACAGG
This 253-nucleotide ribosomal RNA is filed under the name uncultured bacterium. Its description in RNAcentral is "partial 16S ribosomal RNA". It matches the Rfam family "Bacterial small subunit ribosomal RNA", at positions 524 to 776 of the family's 1533-position model. The record is from RNAcentral.